CCUACGGGUGGCUGCAGUGGGGAAUAUUGGACAAUGGGGGCAACCCUGAUCCAGCCAUGCCGCGUGUGUGAAGAAGGCCCUCGGGUUGUAAAGCACUUUCAGUGAGGAAGAACGCCUGGUGGUUAAUACCCAUCAGGAAAGACAUCACUCACAGAAGAAGCACCGGCUAACUCCGUGCCAGCAGCCGCGGUAAUACGGAGGGUGCGAGCGUUAAUCGGAAUUACUGGGCGUAAAGCGCGCGUAGGUGGCUUGAUAAGCCGGUUGUGAAAGCCCCGGGCUCAACCUGGGAACGGCAUCCGGAACUGUCAAGCUAGAGUGCAGGAGAGGUAGGUAGAAUUCCCGGUGUAGCGGUGAAAUGCGUAGAGAUCGGGAGGAAUACCAGUGGCGAAGGCGGCCUUCUGGACUGACACUGACACUGAGGUGCGAAAGCGUGGGUAGCAAACAGGAUUAGAUACCCCAGUAGUC
RNAcentral lists this ribosomal RNA (465 nucleotides) under Vreelandella stevensii. RNAcentral's name for it is "partial 16S ribosomal RNA". It matches the Rfam family "Bacterial small subunit ribosomal RNA", at positions 338 to 795 of the family's 1533-position model. The record is from RNAcentral. Lineage: Bacteria; Pseudomonadati; Pseudomonadota; Gammaproteobacteria; Oceanospirillales; Halomonadaceae.